GCAUACCCAGCAAGUCCCACUUCUGAAUGCCUUGCUGGCUUCCACGUCUCCAGGACUGCUCCCUCUGCUGGAAAGCUCGCCCCCCCCAACCCUCGAGUCCCCAAGACUCCUCCGCCAAGGGGCUUCCUGGGAUCAGCCAGUAUCGAGUGCAUUUGUGGGGUUCCUUCACUUCAAUCGAAACAGAAUUUCUGAAAGCAGUGGCUGUGCACACACUUGGCCGCAAUCUGAGCCACCGCGCAACCCCCCCGAGGAGAACAGGCAUCUGGACACCGCAAGCAGAGCUAUGUAAAGCUAAUACUCGCAGACGCUGUGGGCUUCAGCCUGUCUAAGGAGGCAGGGAGCUGGCAUGGUAUAUUAAAUUCACUGAAUUUUACAGCGAACAUCUGGCCUCAAGGACAGCUGUGGUCAGGUUUAGUGAAAGACUUCUGUGAAAAAUGGUAACGUCAAAAUAUUUGAGCCUCUGUUUGCACUAAGGCAACUUGUUAAUCAGUUGGUCUGCGUUGGGGCUGAAUAUUUGCCAGUUUCACUUUACUUAAGGCGAAGGUACCCUUCUUAAACAGAAUCCAACAUCGUGCCUGGGAUCAGGGGAGUCUAAUUCACGUAGCACCGUUUUCUCUGUUCGCAAAAUAUCUGUUUUUAUUGUUAGAAAAUUGUGAAUGGGUCUCUUCGCAUCCCUCGGUUUUGCUCACCUCGAUACCAUUGGCGCUUAAGGGUGAAUACAUAGUUUAAACAGAGAGGGUGAAAUGAUCAGCUUUUAAGCAGCCUCCCCGGAUGUCUGAGAUUUUGAAUAAAAGGGUAUGUAGCAUAAAUUAUAACUCUUAAUCAUAACCAUGAACGCAAAACUGAGGGGUUUUAUAUUCGAAGCAGAAAAGUUGCAUCUCAAAGCUGAGAAGUACAUUUAGCGGCCUGUUUCUAAUCUGUCAGAAAGCGCAACAUGGAUUUAAUGUGACCCUGAAGGAUAGAAGGAAAACAGGGCUCGCCCUCUGAUCCUCCAUUUGAAGCUCGUUGAAUUAGUCCAAGCACAUUUGAAAUGACUCAAGAUGGUGAACAUCUGCCUCUCUUUAUUAGAAAAAUUCUCUUUUUAUUAUAAAUAAACACUUUGUCCGGGAUUGAUUGUGAAUUCCAUUAGUCCGUGGACUUGUGUUUCCAGAGCAACGUGAGCGCUGGGCCAGAAGCACUGAGUGCGUUCUGAAUCUCUCCAGAAUCCGACAGUGAACACACAGAAAGAAACACAUAAUUAGCUAGUUCGUUGCAGACUUUGGCCUCAACCUAGGGAGCAGCUGACCCAGGUGCAUUGCAGAACUUUGGAACGCCGUCUCGAUUACCCUGCUGUACGUCACAACCAAAUGGCACGGAGGAGCUUCAAGCUCCUGAGAAACAUGCCUCAGUCAGCGUUUCCCUCGUUACCAGAACACAGAAGAGGCCCACCAGACAGUCACUGUGCCUUUGAGACGCCUCCGUGUGGGUGUUCACUGAUAUCAGGGGAAUAAAGUAGGCCCAGAUGCAAUAGUCCUUAGAAAAUAGGACUUUAAAGAGAGUUUGGGUCCCCGGCCCGCACAUCCUCCAUCUUCUCUUUCCUUCUGCUUGCGAGAAUAUACAGUCUGGGGGCGCCUGGGUGGCACAGUGGUUAAGCGUCUGCCUUCGGCUCAGGGCGUGAUCCCGGCGUUAUGGGAUCGAGCCCCACAUCAGGCUCCUCUGCUAUGAGCCUGCUUCUUCCUCUCCCACUCCCCCUGCUUGUGUUCCCUCUCUCGCUGGCUGUCUCUAUCUCUGUUGAAUAAAUAAAUAAAAUCUUAAAAAAAAAAAAAAGAAUAU
Molecule: long non-coding RNA, 1812 nt
Filed under: Ailuropoda melanoleuca (giant panda)
Lineage: Eukaryota; Metazoa; Chordata; Mammalia; Carnivora; Ursidae
Description: lncRNA (ENSAMEG00000023860.1)
Source: RNAcentral